AGAUAAGGAAGAUGCAUCCGCAAAGUGGAAAUGCGAAGCUCGUGCCCCCGCUGAUGACUUCUGGGGCACUGAACCCGUUGAUCGUAGAGCACACGAGUGAUUGUGUCACGUCUGGCGCCAGGGAAGUCCAAAAAGUCACAGGUUCAGGACUAACAAACUCGUACGCCGAUCAUGGGGGCGCUAGCUGUGUCGCUGAGGGAGCCUAUGUUGAUUGCAGCGCCGUUGUCCAUACUGAUAUGGCCGCCUUUUCGAUCGGCGCCUACUCUGUUGUGUGCGCCGGCGCAGUCUUGCGUCCACCAGUUCGCGUCUGUGUAAGGCAGGCCUCCGCACGCGCUGAGCCGCGUGUCCACAUCGGGUCCUUUGUGUACGUGGGAGGGCAGGUGGUUUGCGAAGCGGCAGAGGUCGGGCACAUGGUUAGACUUGAUGCGCAGUGCGUGGUGUCUACUGGAGCGCACCUUCCAGAUGGUGUGUGGCUGCUGGCUCGAACGUGGGUGCCCCCCGAGGUGACACUGUCUCCCUACACCGUGUACGCCGGCGUUCCGGCGACCCCUAUCCGAAAGCUGAAUGCGCGUUCCUAUCAGCUGCUGCACAUGGAAUUCCUGCGCAGACGACGUGAAGCUUCGUGAAAGGAUUUGCAUCACUUCUGCGCUUCCACAAAAUGCAAUUCAACUUCGAACUCUGUGCACAGAAGCCGAGCGAGCUACCCUGCACGAGCGCCGCCUAAUGUGCAAGCUGGAAAGGUCUGAUUCAGUGCGUGUCUGUGGGUGUGAAGAGGGUAUCGCUCCCCCUUUCUACUACUCGCUGGACACACCUAAGAAGCAACGCGCAACCGAAGCGAGUGCUGUAGUGCUUGCAGAAAUGUGAGGACGAUGGUGAGUUUUGAUCGGCUUUCCAUCCUACUGACAGAGGGAGCCAUUCUGGUAAUACAAAG
Molecule: unclassified non-coding RNA, 931 nt
Filed under: Leishmania donovani
Lineage: Eukaryota; Euglenozoa; Kinetoplastea; Trypanosomatida; Trypanosomatidae
Description: gene:unknown
Source: RNAcentral